Molecule: ribosomal RNA, 392 nt
Filed under: uncultured bacterium
Lineage: Bacteria
Description: partial 16S ribosomal RNA
Rfam family: Bacterial small subunit ribosomal RNA
Source: RNAcentral
AUACGGAGGAUCCGAGCGUUAUCCGGAUUUAUUGGGUUUAAAGGGUGCGCAGGCGGCCAUUUAAGUCAGCGGUUAAAUCGUGGGGCUCAACCCCAUUCUGCCGUUGAUACUGGGUGGCUUGAUUGCGGUCGAGGUUGGCGGAAUUCGUUGUGGAGCGGGGGAAUGCAUAGAUAUGACGAAGAACACCGAUAGCGUAGGCAGCUGACCAGACCGCAAAUGACGCUCAUGCACGAAAGUGCGGGGAUCGAACAGGAUUAGAUACCCUGGUAGUCCGCACAGUAAACGAUGAAUACUCGCUGUUUGCGAUACACUGUAAGCGGCCAAGCGAAAGCGUUAAGUAUUCCACCUGGGGAGUACGCCGGCAACGGUGAAACUCAAAGGAAUUGACGGGG